RNAcentral lists this ribosomal RNA (258 nucleotides) under uncultured bacterium. Its description in RNAcentral is "partial 16S ribosomal RNA". It matches the Rfam family "Bacterial small subunit ribosomal RNA", at positions 527 to 779 of the family's 1533-position model. The record is from RNAcentral.
CGGAGGGGCUAGCGUUGUUCGGAAUUACUGGGGCGUAAAAGCGCACGUAGGCGGACCAGAAAGUUGGGGGUGAAUACCCGGGGCGUCAACCUCGGAACUGCCUUCAAAACUAUUGGUCUGGAGUUCGAGAGAGGUGAGUGGAAUUCCGAGUGUAGAGGUGAAAUUACGUAGAUAUUCGGAGGAACACCAGUGGCGAAGGCGGCUCACUGGCUCGAUACUGACGCUGAGGUGCGAAAGCGUGGGGGAGCAAACAGGAUU